GCCGGGCAUGGUGGCUCAUGCCUGUAAUCCCAGCACUUUGGGAGGCUGAGGCGGGUGGAUUACCUGAGGUCAGGAGUUCGAGACCAGCCUGGCCAACAUGGUGAAACCCCAUCUCUA
Molecule: unclassified non-coding RNA, 117 nt
Organism: Macaca fascicularis (crab-eating macaque)
Lineage: Eukaryota; Metazoa; Chordata; Mammalia; Primates; Cercopithecidae
Rfam family: Metazoan signal recognition particle RNA
About the family: The signal recognition particle (SRP) is a universally conserved ribonucleoprotein.
Source: Ensembl